GGGGGGAGGCAGGGGACCCCGUGACGGGGGAGCAGGCUGCCCCCAGCCCCAAGGAGACACCUGCGGGAGAAACCCCAGACUCUCUGAGCGUCGAGACUGCUCUGUGGCCAAGGCCAUUUACAGCAGUAAAAGGGAUCGUUUUGCGCUGAUGCCUCGGAAUUACGCCCUGAAUCCGAAUCUCAGUGGCCCCACGGCAGGCAGAGAAAUGAUUUUCCUCGAAUGCGAAACCUGGCUUUUAGGGAAGUUGGAGGUGGCCCCGGCUGCCCAUGGACCAGGAGCGGGAGCAGUCACACAGGUUUUUCUGGAGCCUGCCCCGCCCGCUGAAGCUGAGUCCGAGGCGCUGUGCCGCCUGGUGAGCGUCCCCACCGCGUGCACUCGUCCCCACCUCCGUCCUCUCCGCGAUGCUCCCAUCCCGUCUUUCCUGUGGGCCAUGCUCUCUGCUCCCAGGCCUUCCAGACGAUUCGGGAUGGCAGCCGUCUACUACACGGAGCCUGGCCCUGACCUUCUUCUGCAGAAAUCCCCCCAGCCUCCUGGGCAGCAGCGGCAGAAGGCUGUCGAGUACAGGGCUGGCUCCCCCCCAACUUUCAUGUCCCUGUUGAAGACGGUGGAUGGCGAGACGAACCAGCCCCUGGAUGUGUCUGUCAAGGUCACCACCGGCAGCUAUGAGUUUCAAAAGAAAAGAGAUCUGAGCCUCCUCCUCAAGCCUGGCCUCUUGGCAUCGUAGUCCAACGCCCAUCACCCCGGAGAGAACAGAAGCCGGUUGAGCACAGCUCGGUAACUCUUGGCGUCCUGCUUGCAUCAGCAGCAUGGCCGGCUUUGUGAAGCCCACCUACCCGCUGUCCUCCUUUGUCCCAGACCCUGCUCAGAACCUCAAAGCCCAGCAGCAGAACCUGGUCCCCUUCCUGGAAUCAGACUAUGACCGGCGGAUGCAGCAAUAGGCCCUGCAUCCCGUGCGUGUCACCCGCACCCAGAGGCGGCUCCAGACACCCAGUUCCUGCCCGUGCCUUUCCUUCUCCCACAUCCCGACCAGCUGGCAACACUCCAGGAUGCUCCAGUCGUUAGAAGGGAGUGGACCCGGCGAGGGAAAGAGGAGCAGCAUUGAUUCAAUGCAGCAGGAGCACAGAGAUGAGCCCAAAUCUCGACGAAAGAGGGGCCCUGACGCAGUGCCCCUUUCUCACUUGGCCCCCAGUCCACCGUCCAGUUCCUGGCGGACCACAGACCAGAGGUCACCGUUCUCACCAAGAUCAAAUGUCACGCCGGUCUGUGGUGGGGCAUCAGCCCUGCCAACCGGGCAGCAAUGGUCCAGGAGCUCGCCAAUGCCACGGCCAGCUCCAUCGCCGCGUCCUGGACCGUUCAGAGGUAACCUGGCACCACCCGAACCCACAGCCCUCUGAGCUCCCCGGCUCUUUGCGAGACUUCCAGGUAAACAUCAGGACCUUCCGAGUCCACAGCAGCAGAAAAGUGUAAGGACUAACCUUGAAUGAGGACCGCGUGGCUGUCAGGUACCGUGUGCGUCCAUCCUGCCUUCCUCUUCUCUCCUCUCUCUGUCCAAAAAAAAAAA
This 1561-nucleotide long non-coding RNA is filed under the name Sus scrofa (pig). RNAcentral's name for it is "lncRNA (ENSSSCG00025058769.1)". The record is from RNAcentral. Lineage: Eukaryota; Metazoa; Chordata; Mammalia; Artiodactyla; Suidae.